UACGUAGGGUGCGAGCGUUAAUCGGAAUUACUGGGCGUAAAGCGUGCGCAGGCGGUUAUGUAAGACAGGUGUGAAAUCCCCGGGCUUAACCUGGGAACUGCGCUUGUGACUGCAUAACUCGAGUGUGGCAGAGGGGGGUGGAAUUCCACGUGUAGCAGUGAAAUGCGUAGAGAUGUGGAGGAACACCGAUGGCGAAGGGCAAGUCCCCCUGGGGUCCUACGUACUGACGCUCAUGCACGAAAGCGUGGGGAGCAAACAGGAUUAG
RNAcentral lists this ribosomal RNA (265 nucleotides) under uncultured bacterium. Its description in RNAcentral is "partial 16S ribosomal RNA". It matches the Rfam family "Bacterial small subunit ribosomal RNA", at positions 524 to 781 of the family's 1533-position model. The record is from RNAcentral.